UACGUAGGGAGCGAGCGUUGUCCGGAUUCAUUGGGCGUAAAGAGCUCGUAGGCGGCUUGGUAAGUCGGAUGUGAAACCUCCAGGCUCAACCUGGAGUCGCCAUCCGAUACUGCCAUGGCUAGAGUCCGGUAGGGGCCCACGGAAUUCCUGGUGUAGCGGCGAAAUGCGCAGAUAUCAGGAGGAACACCGAUGGCGAAGGCAGUGGGCUGGGCCGGCACUGACGCUGAGGAGCGAAAGCGUGGGGAGCGAACAGG
Molecule: ribosomal RNA, 254 nt
Filed under: uncultured bacterium
Lineage: Bacteria
Description: partial 16S ribosomal RNA
Rfam family: Bacterial small subunit ribosomal RNA
Source: RNAcentral